AGCUCAAAUUUGAAAUCUGGUUCUCGGGCCCGAGUUGUAAUUUGCAGAGGAUGCUUUUGGCAAGGUACCUUCCGAGUUCCCUGGAACGGGACGCUAAAGAGGGUGAGAGCCCCGUCUAGUUGGAUGCCUGGCCUCUAUAAAGCUCCUUCGACGAGUCGAGUAGUUUGGGAAUGCUGCUCAAAGUGGGAGGUAUAUGUCUUCUACAGCUACAUACCAGCUAGAGACCGAUACCGCACAAGUAGAGUGAUCGAAAGAUGCAAAGCACUUUGCAAAGAGGGUUACAUAGUACGUGAAAUUGCUAAAAGGGAAGCGCUUAUAACUAGACAUAGGGGUAUUUACUCACCUAGUUUUUUGCUAGGGCACUUAGGUCUAGGCUACCAUCGGUUUAUAAGAGAUAAAGAUGCUAGGAACGUAGCUCUCUGCGGGUGUUAUAGCCUAGUAUGCAAUGUCUUAUAUAGACUGAGGUCUGCACGUAAGGAUGCUGGCAUAAUAGUUAUUAGUGACCCGUCUUGCAACACGGACCAAGGAGUCGUCCUCGUAUGCAAGUGUUUGGGUGGUAAACCCCUAUGCGAAAUAAAAGUGAACGUAGGUAAGAGCCCUGGUGCAUUACCGACCGAUCCUGAUGUUCUUGGAUGGAUUUGCGUACGAGCAUACGGGGCCGGACCCGAAAGAAGGUGCACUAUGCCUGCGUACGGUGAAGCCAGAGGAAACUCUGGUGGAGGCUCGCAUCGGUUCUGCCGUGCAAAUCGAUCGUC
RNAcentral lists this ribosomal RNA (755 nucleotides) under Ophiocordyceps evansii. RNAcentral describes it as "partial large subunit ribosomal RNA". It matches the Rfam family "Eukaryotic large subunit ribosomal RNA", at positions 106 to 906 of the family's 3401-position model. The record is from RNAcentral. Lineage: Eukaryota; Fungi; Ascomycota; Sordariomycetes; Hypocreales; Ophiocordycipitaceae.